This 983-nucleotide long non-coding RNA is filed under the name Prunus persica (peach). Its description in RNAcentral is "long non-coding RNA (PPER_LNC006339)". The record is from RNAcentral. Lineage: Eukaryota; Viridiplantae; Streptophyta; Magnoliopsida; Rosales; Rosaceae.
UCAAGUAGAAAAUUUCAUUAAAGUGUCCAAAGUUACAGACUCGAGCGACAAACAUGGCUCAUUAAAACCUUGCCUAGGAACCUAGUGGGACAAAACCUAAGGCGAAAGAAAGAGUACACGCUCCAUAAAGGCUACAAACAAAAACUCAUGACGAAAAAAAUUAUCAACAUCAACUUGAAGAAACACAUUGAGAUAUGGAGGACCCUCUUUAAGUCAAACGUUUGUAGAAACCCUACCUAAAGCAACUUAGCAAGUCUAUCAGCGACAUUAUUACACAAUCUAGGAACAAAAACAAAAGGAAAGAGAUGCAAAAUCUCUAGAUAACAUAUGUGGAUGUUGUUGAUAAUUUCCCAUGGCCAUCUGAUUCAACCACCAAUGAAUCAUAACCAGCAUAUCCCUGCAAAGCAUUGAUAAACUCUUACAAUGUCUUUUAGACUUGGAUUAGACCUUCUAUUUGAGUUUUAAAUAAAUUUAAUUUUCAGUCCUAAGGUCCUAUAUAUGGUUUUGGAAUUAGGACCGACACUCCUUCAAAGAAAUGCAUUUUCACAUUUUUGUCAAAAUCCAAAGGAACUGUUGUGGCGCUCCAAAUGCACCUCAGAGGUUGUUAAAAGUGUAGAACAAACUCAAGAAAAUCCUUAUUGGGAAAAAUUCCAGAGGUUAUUGAAAGUUGCUUGCACCAUUUCUCAACUUCCUUAAAGCCCUACUUAAUCACACUAGAACUCAAAUCCAUGUUGAACAAGAAAACUGCAAGAUAGGAGUACGAAGUGUUGAAAGAGGAACCACUUUCACUCGAAACGGACUUCCUCUCUGAAUCAAUAGGAUAUGGAUGACUGACAGCAAAAAGCUGGAUCUUUGAAAAAACUUAGUGUUUUUGGAUGCUCGAGCACCAACCAUGGAGCUCCAAUGACCUUCGCCAUUUUCACCUAAUUUUGAUCCGGUUUCGACCUAAAACUCUUCCCAUCGGUCUCGAAACUAAUAAAAAU